GAUGAACGCUGGCGGCGUGCUUAACACAUGCAAGUCGAACGAUGAAGCCCAGCUUGCUGGGUGGAUUAGUGGAGAACGGGUGAGUAACACGUGAGUAACCUGCCCUUAACUCUGGGAUAAGCCUGGGAAACUGGGUCUAAUACCGGAUAGGAGCGUCCACCGCAUGGUGGGUGUUGGAAAGAUUUAUCGGUUUUGGAUGGACUCGCGGCCUAUCAGCUUGUUGGUGAGGUAAUGGCUCACCAAGGCGACGACGGGUAGCCGGCCUGAGAGGGUGACCGGCCACACUGGGACUGAGACACGGCCCAGACUCCUACGGGAGGCAGCAGUGGGGAAUAUUGCACAAUGGGCGAAAGCCUGAUGCAGCGACGCCGCGUGAGGGAUGACGGCCUUCGGGUUGUAAACCUCUUUCAGUAGGGAAGAAGCGAAAGUGACGGUACCUGCAGAAGAAGCACCGGCUAACUACGUG
This 466-nucleotide ribosomal RNA is filed under the name uncultured bacterium. RNAcentral describes it as "partial 16S ribosomal RNA". It matches the Rfam family "Bacterial small subunit ribosomal RNA", at positions 28 to 507 of the family's 1533-position model. The record is from RNAcentral.